This is a long non-coding RNA of Pogoniulus pusillus (Red-fronted tinkerbird), 1050 nucleotides long. RefSeq lists it as uncharacterized. NCBI's taxonomy places the organism in Eukaryota, Metazoa, Chordata, Aves, Piciformes, Lybiidae. The transcript has 5 exons. The record is from RefSeq and is a predicted model, not a curated record.
GCUCUCCAGUCCUGGCUGUGGGAGGGCUUGGUGUAUCUUGCAGAGCUGCUGUGGAAUGCAGACUUAAACAGGCAUCCCUUAGAAGGGCAACAUUGAUUGCAAGAUAAACCCUGGACACCAGAGAAGCCCAGAGGUGAAAAGCACCAUUAGGUCUUUUCCAAUCCAGGCAACUCUGUGAUUCAAGGGAUGGAAGAGCACUGUGCUUGGGCUGUCACCUUCCACACAGAGCCAGUGCCUGCAGCUCCUCAGCCCUCCUGGUCAUGAAAUCCUCUCUGCUGAACAGAACACACAGUGAACAUCAACACUGAAGCCUCAACAAGCCCAGUGAACACGGGAAAGACCAGCACUGAAGCCACUGAGGUGCCAGCUCCAGAGCCAGGCCUCUGGGGUCCCACAGGCAGCAACUCUCCUCCACCCUGCUGCAGAGGCUCACUGAGGACUGCUGAGACACAACUGGCACUGCUGUGGUGCAGGGGUGAGCUUCGUCCCAAACCCACCCAGGGCUGUACCUGGGAGUAAACCCCUUUGCACGGAGAGGUGCUGGCAGUGUCCUCUUGAAGUGAUUAGCUCCUGGGCUUUGACAGCGUUGAGUCGAUACACCCUGAGGACCUGCACGAGUAACUUGCGUUUGCCCUAAAGGGAAGCCAUUCUCGUUUCACUGUCUAUUAAUGAUUACAGUGUUCCUGAGUUCUCCUCUGCCGCCCCCUCCCCGCUGCCAGGGCCUCUGAACCUGCCCAGGGCUCACACGGGAAGGGUCUUCGGAGGGGGUGAUGGUCUAUGGCAAGAGUCAUGUGGUUUAAUUUUGACCUUCCUGAGCAAAAAAAAAGAUGAUGAGUUCUGUGUAGGAGAGACACUAAAACCUCUGCUGCUCCAUUAGGAGCAUUACCCUGAAAUACUCACUGGAGCUUCUACCAGCCCAGAUAAUAGGGGUGGGAAAUAAUUUCUGGAAGAUAUUUUCCUCAAAGCAUCUUACCGAGGGAUUGUUUCCUAACAGCAGCGAUGAAAUAUUUGUCAAAUAAUCCUUCAAUACCACAAAUAUUUUGUCUUUAA